Molecule: non-coding RNA, 30 nt
Filed under: Mus musculus (house mouse)
Lineage: Eukaryota; Metazoa; Chordata; Mammalia; Rodentia; Muridae
Source: RNAcentral
UAGCAUAUUCAGUGAUAGAGUGAUGGCAUA